This 497-nucleotide ribosomal RNA is filed under the name uncultured bacterium. Its description in RNAcentral is "partial 16S ribosomal RNA". It matches the Rfam family "Bacterial small subunit ribosomal RNA", at positions 28 to 507 of the family's 1533-position model. The record is from RNAcentral.
GAUGAACGCUGGCGGCGUGCCUAAUACAUGCAAGUCGAGCGAACGGACGAGAAGCUUGCUUCUCUGAUGUUAGCGGCGGACGGGUGAGUAACACGUGGAUAACCUACCUAUAAGACUGGGAUAACUUCGGGAAACCGUAGCUAAUACCGGAUAAUAUUUUGAACCGCAUGGUUCAAAAGUGAAAGACGGUCUUGCUGUCACUUAUAGAUGGAUCCGCGCUGCAUUAGCUAGUUGGUAAGGUAACGGCUUACCAAGGCAACGAUGCAUAGCCGACCUGAGAGGGUGAUCGGCCACACUGGAACUGAGACACGGUCCAGACUCCUACGGGAGGCAGCAGUAGGGAAUCUUCCGAAAAGGGCGAAAGCCUGACGGAGCAACGCCGCGUGAGUGAUGAAGGUCUUCGGAUCGUAAAACUCUGUUAUUAGGGAAGAACAUUUGUGUAAGUAACUGUGCACAUCUUGACGGUACCUAAUCAGAAAGCCACGGCUAACUACGUG